Molecule: non-coding RNA, 409 nt
Organism: Terrapene triunguis (Three-toed box turtle)
Lineage: Eukaryota; Metazoa; Chordata; Testudines; Emydidae
Source: the annotation of a RefSeq genome assembly
GUGUCCUCAGGUGCAGCUGGUACAAUCUGGCCAGGGAGCGGUGAAGCCCGGAGACACCUUCACACUGACCUGCGCGGUCUCGAGUCACUCCAUCACCAGUGGUUACUAUUGGAGCUGGGUCCGGCAACCUCCCGGGACAGGGCUGGAGUGGCUGGGACGGGGAUAUUACAGCAGUUCCACCUGGAACACGAAUUACGGCUCAUCCUUCCAGAGCCAAAUCACCAUCUCCAUUGACUCCUCCAAGAGCCAGUUCUCCCUGCAGCUCCGCUUGCUGACAGCUGCAGACACCACCACCUAUUACUGCGCCAGGGACCGAAAAAAAGGGGGAAGAGAAGCCUGCCCAGACAUCUACAACGCUUUUAUUUAUCUGUCUAGAAAAGCAGGAGAUCUUUCCGCUAGAUGGCACUAA